UAGGGAAUCUUCCACAAUGGACGCAAGUCUGAUGGAGCAACGCCGCGUGAGUGAAGAAGGUCUUCGGAUCGUAAAGCUCUGUUGUUGGUGAAGAAGGAUAGAGGCAGUAACUGGUCUUUAUUUGACGGUAAUCAACCAGAAAGUCACGGCUAACUACGUGCCAGCAGCCGCGGUAAUACGUAGGUGGCAAGCGUUGUCCGGAUUUAUUGGGCGUAAAGCGAGCGCAGGCGGAAUGAUAAGUCUGAUGUGAAAGCCCACGGCUCAACCGUGGAACUGCAUCGGAAACUGUCAUUCUUGAGUGCAGAAGAGGAGAGUGGAACUCCAUGUGUAGCGGUGGAAUGCGUAGAUAUAUGGAAGAACACCAGUGGCGAAGGCGGCUCUCUGGUCUGCAACUGACGCUGAGGCUCGAAAGCAUGGGUAGCGAACAGGAUUAGAUACCCUGGUAGUCCAUGCCGUAAACGAUGAGCGCUAGGUGUUGGGGACUUUCCGGUCCUCAGUGCCGCAGCAAACGCAUUAAGCGCUCCGCCCCGGGGAGUACGACCGCAAGGUUGAAAC
RNAcentral lists this ribosomal RNA (555 nucleotides) under uncultured bacterium. RNAcentral's name for it is "partial 16S ribosomal RNA". It matches the Rfam family "Bacterial small subunit ribosomal RNA", at positions 355 to 900 of the family's 1533-position model. The record is from RNAcentral.